Lepidothrix coronata (blue-crowned manakin) is the source of this 1223-nucleotide long non-coding RNA. RefSeq lists it as uncharacterized. The transcript has 3 exons. The record is from RefSeq and is a predicted model, not a curated record. NCBI's taxonomy places the organism in Eukaryota, Metazoa, Chordata, Aves, Passeriformes, Pipridae.
GGUGUCCCUCCCCAUGGCAAGAGAGACUGGAAUAAGGUGUUCUUUAAAGUGCCUUCCCGCCCAAACCAUUCUAUGUUUCUAUGACAAGUACUCCAAACCAGUAAGUUCCAGGGACACUUGGCAGUAACAUGGCACUUGUUAAGAGGUGGGGGGUUGUGAAACUUUUUUGCUAAACUAGUAAAACUUAAAUGAAGGGAAUUAUAUCUCUCGUUGCUAUAUCCCUCAAGGACAGAGAGGGGGUUGGAGAUAACCUUCAGGGAAGGCAGAGGGCAGGAUUGCACUGACCCCAAAGGAUGCUGGAUGUGGUCCCUGAAGCCGUGGCUGCCGCGAUGCCUCGUUGCUGCGGGGAGCAGAGCUGCUGCAGAAGGAAAGAGGUUUGGUUCUCGGUGCUCCUGUGUCCGGAAAGGGAGAGUGGAGAGCGCGGAGCCGAGUUGGAUCGGGCUCCCUACCCCAACAGGGUGACCUGAUAAAUUGCCACCAGUCAGCUGAACCUCAGUAACGGCCUCUCGGCUCGCAGCUAAAAUUAGCUGAAAUGGCACGAAGAGAAUUGCUGAAACCUCCACGAAAGUGAUUUAAGCCGAAGCACGUGACCUCGCAUUUGUCACGGGCCGGAGCACGCGCAGGCCUGCUGGCACAGCGCAGGUGAUGUGCAGGAGCGUGUUAAGCCGAGGAGUCUCGAUCUGAAAAAACCUAUUUGUGAAGCUGGAUAUCCAGAGCCAGUAGUAGCUUUGGUGACUGAACCCCAGGUGGUUUUCUGUUGAUUCAGAACUUCAGCAAGUCCUACUAAUUGCAAGUCCUGCCCUUGCAGUGAAGCUUUGCCUCACUCACCAUUUCCAGGCUUCAAGAUUUGGGUACUGUUACCUGUCAUUUCUGCUUCUAAAAGGACUCUGGAGACUGGGAGUUUGGGAGCGUUCUUCUAACCCCUGGGGAUUUUGUGCAUAUGUGUUAUCCUUUCCAUAAAAGAAUCAAUCUGGUGGUCAGGCCCCAAAAUGCUUGAGUAUUUAUUUAAAAGUAAAAUAAAAAGCUGCAGCAAAUAGGGGCUGAUGUCUUAAGGGCUGGGAGAAAAAGAAGGAAGAAUGGGUGUGUCCAUGUGUUACACAUCUACAGGUUCAUGUGGCAUCCUACAAGGUGAAGGAAAGUCGGUAGCAUAUGCCUGUGGUUAUUGUAUUUGCUUCUCAGUUAUCAUAUGAGGCCUAAAUUAGGAUGUCAAUAAAAUAUUCCAU